Long non-coding RNA from Daphnia magna, 921 nucleotides. RefSeq lists it as uncharacterized. The record is from RefSeq and is a predicted model, not a curated record. Lineage: Eukaryota; Metazoa; Arthropoda; Branchiopoda; Diplostraca; Daphniidae. The transcript is spliced from 2 exons.
UACUAUACGAUCCAGUCUAUGGUGACAGGUCUGGAGGAUACUAGCAUGUCGUUCAAGUGUUUAGCACAACCUUUUUUUUUUUUUUCCUUUUCUUAAACAAUUAGGACGUAUUAUUGCGCAGCCGAUAGUUCAAAUUGCUGGUCCGAAUUGGGCAUUUACUUACUAGAAUUGAUUUGCUAUUUAGUAUUUAAAACUAGGAAACCAUGCAGUGCUGGAUAUGCAUGAUGAAAGGAACUGUGUCACACCCUACGAUGCAAUUAAGGUAACUACGGCGGUAUAUUGCUGUUGGCGGUUGCCCUUCUGAUGGCAACAUUAAUCACAGGUGUAAUGAUGGGUUCGUCUCCAUCGUACACAAUUGAUACGCCCUACUACGCAUAUCCGCGCAUAUCACGUAUCCACUGACCACAAUGAGUCAUCCGAGUACUAAACGACCAAAGCUUCGAAUACAACCCCACAGCCUCUUAUUAUACCACCACAUAUUUCGCUUCAACCUAGUACAGCACUGAAGCUUAUGAAUACUAUGCUGCUUAAGUUACGACGCCGAAGCUCUUGUUGACUAAACUACAAGUAACACCAGUCCGAGCUACCAAACAGAGGCUCCAAAAUAUUACACUACCAAUGCUCCAAAGUACAACCUACCCAAAGUGGAAUUUUACAACCCAACUUACACCACACCCAGCUACCCGUACGAACCCGACAAGUUUUUCUUCUCCGAGCUAUACUUCCCACCCUUGAUCCGAACUUUACUUCAAUAAAAGCAGUAAAGAAUUUACUAGCUCUAAACCGCUCGAAUCUUACUGCACUGAAGCAAGCCAAACUAUUCUGCCUAACCUAGCCUAUUUUCUACGUAUACCCUACAAAUGUCAAGUAUUCGCAAACGCCAUAAUCGCAGAUCGAAAUACAAUCCGAGUAAGAACUUUU